GUGCCACGGCAGCACAUAUACUAAAAUUGGAUCGAUACAGAGAAGAUUAGCAUGGCCCCUGCAAAAGGAUGACACACAAAUCCAUGAAGCGCUCCAUCUUUUU
Small nuclear RNA from Cyprinus carpio carpio, 103 nucleotides. The record is from Ensembl. NCBI's taxonomy places the organism in Eukaryota, Metazoa, Chordata, Actinopteri, Cypriniformes, Cyprinidae.